CAGUCGCCGCGGUAAUACGUAGGUGGCAAGCGUUGUCCGGAAUUAUUGGGCGUAAAGGGCUCGCAGGCGGUUUCUUAAGUCUGAUGUGAAAGCCCCCGGCUCAACCGGGGAGGGUCAUUGGAAACUGGGAAACUUGAGUGCAGAAGAGGAGAGUGGAAUUCCACGUGUAGCGGUGAAAUGCGUAGAGAUGUGGAGGAACACCAGUGGCGAAGGCGACUCUCUGGUCUGUAACUGAUGCUGAGGAGCGAAAGCGUGGGGAGCGAACAGGAUUAGAUACCCCAGUAGUCCCUGUCUCUUAUAA
RNAcentral lists this ribosomal RNA (301 nucleotides) under uncultured bacterium. RNAcentral describes it as "partial 16S ribosomal RNA". It matches the Rfam family "Bacterial small subunit ribosomal RNA", at positions 509 to 809 of the family's 1533-position model. The record is from RNAcentral.